AGUGGUCGACGUAGGCGGGCGGCGUGGCGGGGCGGAAAACCGUUUCCGGGAGAGACCUUCCGUGGUGGACGUCGCCCCAGGCUCCCACACUUAGAAAACUAAAGGGAACGCCUAACGGAGCGAUGGAUCUCCGUGUUCCCAGCAAAGCAGGGAGCACGGAGAGUCAAAGCUAACAUAGAGCCCAACCGACGCUUAAAGGAGGUGUUUUGGGUUUUGUUUUUUUUUUUUCUAUUUGCGUACGGUCUAUUUUGUCGUUUUUUUGGUUUGGUUUGGUUUUUUUCUUUGUUUUCCGCUUUGGCUGAGGUGACUUAGUAAAGGAGAAAAAGGGCAGUCCGCUACACCAUUUCGUAAGACGAAAAUAACCCUAUGAGAAUUCACUCCAAAAAUAGGCAUCUUUCAUCUCUCCUCAAAUGGCUAAUCGGUGGUUUGGCAGAGUGUGUCCAUUAGAUUCUGAAACUAGUUUGAAUACUGACAGUGCAGAAUUCAAGAAAUUUUUUUGUUUUGUUUCGUUUUAACUGCCACGGCCCUUUAAUCUAGGAAGUUACAGCACCGUGAGUUACCACAGUACUACAUACCUGGCUUCCAUGUCUGAUUAAACAGCAGGCCAAGUAAAAUGUUUAAAGAAAUCAAAUGAAGUGCCAUUUAUAACCGUUAUAACUGAAACAAACGACUGCUAAAGACAAAACUAUUUCACAGAAAUUUGGUCCUCCAAAAUUUGUUUUGCUUUCUACUUCAAAAAGAGUCUACUUCUCUAAAUCAAGAUUUCGGUUUUGCUUCUUUUUUCAAUUUUUCUUUUCUUUUUUUAAUUUUUAUUUUUUGAGAUGGAGUCUCGCUCUGUUGCCCAGGCUGGAGUACAAUGGCGCGAUCUCCGCUCACUGCAAGCUCUGCCUGCCGGGUUCACGCCAUUCUCCUGCCUCAGCCUCCCGAGUAGCUGGGAUUACAGGCGCCCGCCACCACGCCUGGCUAAUUUUUUUAUUUUUAUUUUUAGUAGAGAAGGGGUUUCACCGUGUUAGCCAGGAUGGUCUUGAUCUUCUGACCUCGUGAUCCGCCCGCCUCGGCCUCCCAAAGUGCUGGAAUUACAGGCGUGAGCCACCGCGCCCGGCCCAAUUUUUCUUUUUAAUUUUCACUGUGGGUGAGGAAGCUAAAGCCCGAGACUUCCGAGAUCACACAGCUACUUAAGAUGCCAGACAAGGACCCAAACAAUCUUCCUUUUCAUUUAUGAUAGCCCUUUGGCUUGAAAGCAUGCCCAAAAGUCUCAUCAUUCUUCCUAAAAUGUGUAUCUUUAAGGAUAGUCGCAAUAUCCUCUAUUUUUGUGCCUAUAUUUUAUUCGUAUGUUUUUAUUUUAAUAUAGUAUGUAGUGCCACAUUGUUUGUUGAUUGAAUAAAUAAAUGAAUCUUUUACCACACUCAAGUCUUAACUGGCUGUUAAAUUAAGGUUAUAAUGUGUAAGUUUUCACCUGUAGCCCAUGUAAUUCUCAAAACUGCCCACUAAGCUUCAAGGGUUCAAAUCCAUUACAAGGUGGAAAGGCUAGUGGGGAGGAACUUCCAUCUUCUACUCUGCCAGACAAUAAAAUGUUCUACCUUAUCAGUGGUUCCUAUCCUUGUUGCAUCUUCAGAUGGUGCUGUAGAGAAAAAUUAGACUAACGGUUGUGGCACAGGGGUUUUAAUGCCAGAUUACCCGUUCUGAUACAAUUCUUUAUGCCAUCAUAGGAGUCAAGAGGGCACUCCUAUGUCAUGGUUAAGAGUCCAGGAUUUAUCAGGCAGACCUGGGAUCAAAUCCUAGCUUGAUAACUUACAAACAGCUUUGUAGUCUUCAGCACUCAACUUUUCUGAAACCAGUCUUCUCAUCUGCAAAACAGGGGUGGAUAAUAAUGAGACCUUCAUAGGACUGUCAAGAAGAUUACAUUAAAAGAAAGACUAUGUAUGAAAAAGUAGCAAAAAACCUCCACAUAGUAAAAAGUCAAUGAACAGGAGGUGUUUUCAUCUUUAUAAAGAAUUUAACUGUUGGUGAACUCUUGUCUACCAAAGCCUAGCUCUGUGGGUCUUGUCAAAUGCUGUGCCAGACACAGAAUAAUACUUAUUGUAUUCCCAAAUUAUUUGGAAAUAAUUCUUUUUCAUUAUUUAUUUUUUUGGAGACAGGGGUCUCACUCUGUUGCCCAGGCUGGUCUCUAACUCGUAGGCUCAAGCAGUCCUCUCACCUUGGCCUCUGAAAGUGCUGGAAUUACAGGCAUGAGCCACUGUGCUUGGCUGGUAAUAAUUCUUUUAAUCAAAGUUGAUCUGAGUGACAAAGAGUUGACAGCUUUUCAUUGCUGGUCUGAUGGUAGCAAGUGUCCACUCUAUCCAGAGAGGACAUGUCAGGUGCAGUGGCUCACACCUGUAAUCCCAGCACUUUGGGAGACUGAAGCGGAUAAUUUGAGCCUAGACGUUUGAACGUUAGCCAGGUAUGAUGGUGUGCACCUGUAGCCCUACAUACUUGGGAGGCUGAGGCAGGAGGAUCACUUCAGCCCAGGAG
This 2511-nucleotide long non-coding RNA is filed under the name Homo sapiens (human). RNAcentral describes it as "non-protein coding lnc-RNF17-5:1". The record is from RNAcentral. Lineage: Eukaryota; Metazoa; Chordata; Mammalia; Primates; Hominidae.